AUGGCUUAUAUCUUCAACUUAGCUAAUUCUCUUUCUUUACGUUUAUUCAUUUUAAUGAUAGUCACUGUUACUUUGUUCAUGCAGCUGGCUACAACUAGUGCAGAUACGAAGAUCAGAAAUCUAGGAAACUUUCCCAAUCCACCUCCUCCACCGUGUCGUAACGUUGGCAAUUCUCCUUGUUUUGAUCAUGUGUAA
Vicia faba (fava bean) is the source of this 195-nucleotide non-coding RNA. The record is from the annotation of a GenBank genome assembly. Lineage: Eukaryota; Viridiplantae; Streptophyta; Magnoliopsida; Fabales; Fabaceae.